UACGUAGGUGACGAGCGUUGUCCGGAAUUACUGGGUGUAAAGCGUGCGUAGGUGGCGUGCCAAGUCUGCUGUGAAAUCGCCCGGCUCAACUGGGCGGGGUCGGUGGAAACUGGUGCGCUGGAGGACGGUAGAGGCCGGUGGAAUUCCCGGUGUAGUGGUGAAAUGCGUAGAGAUCGGGAGGAACACCCGUGGCGCAGGCGGCCGGCUGGGCCGGUCCUGACACUGAGGCACGAAGGCGUGGGGAGCGAACGGG
RNAcentral lists this ribosomal RNA (253 nucleotides) under uncultured bacterium. Its description in RNAcentral is "partial 16S ribosomal RNA". It matches the Rfam family "Bacterial small subunit ribosomal RNA", at positions 524 to 776 of the family's 1533-position model. The record is from RNAcentral.